AUGCUACUGCGAAGUAAAAAUAAAGUAGCAAACCUCUCCGAUUCGGAUGGUGAGUCUGAUAAUCAUCUGUCCAGGUUUCGGCGCAAAGAACGCUUGUCGAACAAAGGUCAUUUGCCUAUCACUGCGGGAAGUUCCUCCUGCAGUGGGCGUCAGCGAGUCGUGUCUAAACGACUGCAAGUUAUGUCCGAAAGCGAAUCAAGCGAGGAAAUGAAGGAAACAGCUACACCGGAUGAUUAUAGCAGCGAUGGUUCGGUUGAUCCGGUGGAACGGAUACACGAGAUGAAUAAUUUACCCGUUGUGAUAGUGCAAGUAAGACGACUGACAGCACAGCUUUCGGAUGUGUGUAACGAGUUGGAACAGAUGCUGAUGGGCGAAGGUCCAGAUGAGAAAACGCAGAUGGAGGAACUCAAACAGAAGCUGGUAAAUUUGGGUGCACAGUGUCAGCAAGAAUCGUCGAAGGUACGCAAAAUUACUGUUAAGCGCGGGAAACAACCUACUAAAAAGCGCAAGGAAGUAGUACAUCAAGAUUCAGACACAGUUUUCCCUCAGAAUGUUAGCCGGAUUCGUACGAACAGUGUUGAUUACACCGAUUAUCCCGCGGCGGAUGUUUCGAGAAUUAAUGGAGAAGUUGAUACUAAACUACCCAAUAAAAAUACAGAUCAACCGAUUCCGACGGUCGAGUCCACGAAAGAUAGUGGAAUCCCAUGCUCGGGACAGGAUGAGUCAAACGCAUUGGAAGAAAUGCGGGAAACUGAUAGUCCGGCAGUACUUCGUGAUGAUCCGUUUGAGGAUAUUAAUUCACAGAUUCAUGAUAUUACCGAUCCUCAGGAAUCGUUGGUCAACGCUGGAAACAUUGGAAGUACGGAUACAUUUGGUAAAGGUUGCGCCCAAGAAGAGGAAACUUGUUCGGAAGCUGUAGAUUCCGCGAUUAAUGAUGAUAUAUUUUGUGUGAAGUCAGAUGAUAUUGAUGCGGGGGAUGAUCAGGACGUCCAGUUUUUGAGUGCAACUGCUCCUCGACGUACAGGGAAAGGCCAAGAACGAGUAAAACAAGAAACGGACAUAGAAUCUUACUACCAACCCAAUCCAGCUUCGUCCAAGAUGCUUGAUGUGAAAUUAGUACCAAAGCUCAAAUCGGUAGACUCGAAGUUCAUCACAAAGUUUGAUCCAAACCCAAACCGCGAACCAACGAAGGAGGAAAUUCGUUAUAUUGUUCCGCAUCAGCCAAAGUUUAGUGUUUAUCACCAGGCCCAAGGUGAAAAUUUAGAGCUGUCUUUGAUGAAAAAAGAAAUUGAAAUGCGUCUUCGUGUCAAUGAGCUUUCGUGGGUUACUCAACGAGCGGUACGGGAUGAGAGCUCCCGAAUGAAAAAAGUUAACAAAAACAACGACGAACUUAAGCGCCAGUUGCAGCGAUACGAGCACAAACUUCCGCCAAAUCAGCUAAUUUUAGAUUACGAUAAGGAGAAAAAGACAUUCAUUCGAGUUCAUCCCGGGUUGGCCACGAAGAUGAAGCCUCACCAGAAAGAAGGCGUUAAAUUUAUGUACGAUUGUUGCUACGGGGGCGUCUCAGAUGUGAAAAAUUCCAAAGGCUCAGGAUGCAUCUUGGCCCACUGUAUGGGACUGGGAAAAACACUUCAAGUGAUCGCAUUGAUCAAUACAGUUAUUAGCUAUCCGCAGAUGCAAACCAAACGAAUCAUUGUGGUCUGUCCCAAAAGUACAGUGAUGAAUUGGGCGCAGGAGUUCCGUGAAUGGUUGGGUGACGUCGACAGUGAAAUACACUUGCAGGUUACCUACUUCCCUGAUAGCUCGAAUAUCUACAAAAAAUUGGAAGUCCUGAGAAACUUCCAUCAGGUAACUGGAAAAAACGCCAACUGUCUACUGAUUGGUUAUGAAGCGUACCGUUCGCUAGUGUUUUAUGAUUCCAAAAACAGAAAUGGCGAGCAACAAUCGGAUCGCAUCCGCGCGGAAGUUCGACGAGUUCUGAUCAACCCCGGAGCGGAUCUUAUAAUUCUCGAUGAGGGGCACAUUAUUAAAAACCGGAAGUCCCAAACCAACUUGGCGAUAGCGGAGGUAGCUACGAGGCGAAGAAUUAUUCUCACCGGCACACCAAUCCAAAACAAUCUCAAUGAAUACUUUUGCAUGGUGAGCUUUGUUAAACCAGCUUUUUUGGGUAACGAAAAAGAGUUCAAUGAGCACUACGCGAAACCAAUCAAAGAUGGACAGCACAAAGACUCGAACCCUGUUGAAAUCAAAUAUAUGAAAACUAAAUCCUUUAUCCUGCACAAACUGCUGGCAGACUUUGUACAACGGAAGGAAUUUAGCGUAUUAAAGGAGUUUCUGCCGAAAAAAUACGAAUAUGUGCUAUACGUACCACUUACGCCGGUACAGGAAGAUCUGUAUGAAGAGUACUUAAGGAGGUACCCGUUCCAACGCGACGUUGGCGGUUUAAAUUUGUUGGAGGAUUAUACGUUUCUUCGAAAAAUUUGGACGCAUCCCAUUGUUUUGGAGAGGGCUUGGGAAGUUGCAAUGAAGAAAAAGUAUGGUGUACAAGAGAAACGACGUGCAAUUCGUCAGGCUCGCGGCUUUGAUAGCAGUUCCGACGACGAAGAUGACAACGAUGAGGAUCAAACUCGUUCCAUCACUAACGUGUGGUGGAAGCAAAUAAUUAGUGCAGAUGAUUUAGAAUCGCUUUUCCCGAGUAAUAAAAUGCUGUUACUGUUCGAGAUUCUAAAGAUGUGCCAAGAGCGGGGCGAAAAAUGUUUGAUCUUUUCCGGUUUCGUAAUGGUUCUUAAUAUGGUUGAACAUUUUAUGAGAAAGAUUGACGAACAGGAUAAAAAUCCUAAGGCCAAUCUUUACGGGCUUUCUCGCUUCCGUGGCCCGUGGCGGCCAGGAAUGGAUUUCUAUCGAAUCGAUGGCGGUACUGCCAAAUCAACCCGACACGAGAUGGUUACCAAGUUCAAUGAUCCCAAAAAUCAUGUAACGAGAGUUUUCUUAAUUUCAACAAAAGCCGGUGGACAAGGUAUCAAUCUAGUGGGAGCGAACCGCGUUAUUAUUCUCGACACAUCCUGGAAUCCCGCUGUAGACCAGCAAGGAAUUUUCCGCAUCUAUCGGUUGGGUCAGAGAAAGACUUGCUACAUUUACCGGUUACUGGCAAUUCACACAAUGGAAGAGAAAGUUUACUCCCGAGCAGUUACCAAGCAAGCGAUGAGUCACCGGGUAGCGGAUAAGAAACAGGUCGAUCGAAACUACAACAUGGCUGAGUUAGAAGAACUGUAUCACUUUGAACGUGUUGAUAUGGGUGCUCGCGAGGAUCCGGCGCCAGCCGAAGACGAUCUUCUCUCUGCGCUAUUAUGGAAGCAUCAUAAUCUCAUAUAUCGCUACCAUACGCACGAAAUGAUGCUGGACAACAAAAACGAAAAGGAUUUAACCGAACUUGAGAAAAAGUUUGCUUGGGCAGAGUUCAAGAAAAAAGGUUUAUCGAGUCUGUACCUAGGAAUAGACAGUCAACCGUUGACCCAAAUGUCCAGCACAGUUUCGCAACAGUUCGACCUUGAUGGCGACUUGUUCUUCGACAGGCUGUUCGGGAAUUCCUGCGUUCAGGACCAAUCCGAAUUGAAACCAAGCAUUGCUGACACAAGCUUGAAGUCAUCAAUCACUCCACCGGAACCACUGACUGUCAAUACCUCCGAUGCUGAAGUGAUUGGAGACGAUUCCAUUAUUUUCGGUGAAGACCCUUACAAAGAUUCCAGCGUUGGCGGAAUGAGCAUUAUCGAGGAGCAACGAAGGAUGUUAGGUAUUAAAAAAGAACCAAAAGCCGAAAAACCUGCUCAAGUUACAGUAACUGAGGAAGAAGCUAAUUUGUUGCGCGAACUCGAAGAAAAUACGAAGUUGGAUGCAACAGCUCGGGUGAAACUAGAUACUCCCGAAGUUGCUAAGGUUGCAGCUUGUCAGACCCCCUUCAUUGAUACCAGUGAUUUGCUCAACCUUUCCUAUGAUGGUGAUCACGAUCGAUUUCAACCAGAUUCGCAAGAUGUACAAAUCCAACCUGAAUGCAAUGAUUUUCCACCCGAGAGCAACACAUCGAGUACAGAGCCUACUUGCUCCGAGUUAGUCCCAACGACUUCCGAUGUGACUAACACUAAAGACAACUCAUUCUCUUCGCUAAUCGAGUACGAUCCGGUUGGCGAUAGUCAAGAAAUUAGAGCAAUGACUGCCGCCGGUAAUAAUUUUCCCUCGAACAACAACGGAAGUCUCAUCGUCCCACCUUCCUACGAAACGUUCGUUUCCAAUAUGAAUAACGAUUGCAAAACUGUUACCAGUACCGUCAAACCGCCAGUUGUUCUGGAUGCGGUUGCAGCGAGUACCCCGGGCGUCAUGGCGACAGCGAUAGAACCGCGAAUGACACGUGCUAUGAAACGUAAAACGGUAUCGGCACCUAAAGUGACCGUUCGAUCGAAGAGGAAUCGAGUUUGAGCAUUGGAAGCAUGGCGCGAAUCAUUGAUGGAAGAUACAUUUUAUUUUAUGAGAAAUCGAAACUGAUUGGCAUUCUGCUGUUGCUUACGCAUGUAUCUGCAGGUUCGAUAUUGUAUAUCUGCCGAAUUGUCACACCAGCCUCAUUUGAAAGGUCCAAGGUAUAUGUGCUCCAAUUUUUAUCAGUGGGAGGCUCAUCUAAACUUGAAACAAUACUCAAAUAAGAAUGAAGCCGUCAAACAUUGAUAAUAUGUUUGAAUUCAUAAAUAUAAUCCGUAGCGUAAAAAACGCAAUCAAAUAAUACAUAUCCUUUCAUUUGAAUAUCCUCUAGACAAUUAUAUUCAUGUGUGAAAAGUAACAUACGCUUUAAAACGUGUGAUGUCGAGAACAAGAAAAAAUAUUGAUUCAGCUAUUAAUUAAAAAAAUCAAUUAUUGGUUAAAAACCGUUGUAAGAUUCUAGUACUGAGUAUAUAGGAAACCUCUAUCGAAAUUCAGGAAAAUUGCAAUGC
Topomyia yanbarensis is the source of this 4976-nucleotide RNA transcript. It is a transcript of the gene named transcriptional regulator ATRX homolog, with no coding region annotated. Lineage: Eukaryota; Metazoa; Arthropoda; Insecta; Diptera; Culicidae. The transcript is spliced from 8 exons. The record is from RefSeq and is a predicted model, not a curated record.